UACGGAGGGGGCUAGCGUUGUUCGGAAUUACUGGGCGUAAAGCGCACGUAGGCGGUUUUGUAAGUUAGAGGUGAAAGCCUGGGGCUCAACUCCAGAAUUGCCUUUAAGACUGCAUCACUUGAACACGGGAGAGGUGAGUGGAAUUCCGAGUGUAGAGGUGAAAUUCGUAGAUAUUCGGAAGAACACCAGUGGCGAAGGCGGCUCACUGGACCGUUGUUGACGCUGAAGUGCGAAAGCGUGGGGAGCAAACAGG
Molecule: ribosomal RNA, 253 nt
Filed under: uncultured bacterium
Lineage: Bacteria
Description: partial 16S ribosomal RNA
Rfam family: Bacterial small subunit ribosomal RNA
Source: RNAcentral